UACGGGGGGAGCAAGCGUUGUUCGGAUUUACUGGGCGUAAAGGGCGCGUAGGCGGCGCGACAAGUCACUUGUGAAAUCUCCGGGCUUAACUCGGAGCGGCCAAGUGAUACUGUCGUGCUAGAGUGCGGAAGGGGCAACUGGAAUUCUCGGUGUAGCGGUGAAAUGCGUAGAUAUCGAGAGGAACACCUGCGGCGAAGGCGGGUAGCUGGGCCGACACUGACGCUGAUGCGCGAAAGCCAGGGGAGCGAACGGG
Molecule: ribosomal RNA, 253 nt
Filed under: uncultured bacterium
Lineage: Bacteria
Description: partial 16S ribosomal RNA
Rfam family: Bacterial small subunit ribosomal RNA
Source: RNAcentral